Molecule: ribosomal RNA, 468 nt
Filed under: uncultured bacterium
Lineage: Bacteria
Description: partial 16S ribosomal RNA
Rfam family: Bacterial small subunit ribosomal RNA
Source: RNAcentral
GACGAACGCUGGCGGCGUGCUUAACACAUGCAAGUCGAACGGAAAGGCCCUGCUUUUGUGGGGUGCUCGAGUGGCGAACGGGUGAGUAACACGUGAGUAACCUGCCCUUGACUUUGGGAUAACUUCAGGAAACUGGGGCUAUUACCGGAUAGGAGCUCCUGCUGCAUGGUGGGGGUUGGAAAGUUUCGGCGGUUGGGGAUGGUCUCGCGGCUUAUCAGCUUGUUGGUGGGGUAGUGGCUUACCAAGGCUUUGACGGCUAGCCGGCCUGGGAGGGUGACCGGCGACAUUGGGACUGAGGUACGGCCCAGACGCCUACGGGAGGCAGCAGUGGGGAAUAUUGCACAAUGGGCGGAAGCCUGAUGCAGAAACGCCGCGUGCGGGAUGACGGCCUUCGGGUUGUAAACCGCUUUCGCCUGUGACGAAGCGUGAGUGACGGUAAUGGGUAAAGAAGCACCGGCUAACUACGUG